UACCAGCACCCCGAGUGGUCGGGACGAUUAUUGGGCCUAAAGCAUCCGUAGCCGGUCCUACAAGUCUUCCGUUAAAUCCACCUGCUCAACAGAUGGGCUGCGGAAGAUACUAUAGGGCUAGGAGGCGGGAGAGGCAAACGGUACUCAGUGGGUAGGGGUAAAAUCCUCUGAUCCAUUGAAGACCACCAGUGGCGAAGGCGGCUUGCCAGAACGCGCUCGACGGUGAGGGAUGAAAGCUGGGGGAGCAAACCGG
Molecule: ribosomal RNA, 253 nt
Filed under: uncultured bacterium
Lineage: Bacteria
Description: partial 16S ribosomal RNA
Rfam family: Archaeal small subunit ribosomal RNA
Source: RNAcentral